Non-coding RNA from Lyophyllum atratum, 95 nucleotides. The record is from the annotation of a GenBank genome assembly. Lineage: Eukaryota; Fungi; Basidiomycota; Agaricomycetes; Agaricales; Lyophyllaceae.
UCGGGUAUGGUGUAACGGCUAACAUUGCCGCCUCUCAUGAAUUUGUUUAACUCGAGUGCGCGCGGCAGCUCGGGGUUCGAUUCCCCGUACCCGAA